RNAcentral lists this ribosomal RNA (242 nucleotides) under uncultured bacterium. RNAcentral describes it as "partial 16S ribosomal RNA". It matches the Rfam family "Bacterial small subunit ribosomal RNA", at positions 334 to 573 of the family's 1533-position model. The record is from RNAcentral.
GUACCCUACGGGGCGCAGCAGUGAGGAAUAUUGGUCAAUGGUCGGGAGACUGAACCAGCCAAGCCGCGUGAGGGAUGAAGGUACAGAGUAUCGUAAACCUCUUUUGUCAGGGAACAAAGGCGGGGACGCGUCCCCGGAUGAGUGUACCUGAAGAAAAAGCAUCGGCUAACUCCGCGCCAGCAGCCGCGGUAAUACGGAGGAUGCGAGCGUUAUCCGGAUUUAUUGGGCUUAAAGGGUGCGGA